CUGAACACAAAAUGGCGACACGUGGUUAGCAUUCGUCGCCAACGAGAAAUUGGGGUCGGCCCGAAAGCUCUAGAAUGCACCCCCCUUCUUCCCCGGGGCCUUCCACCUCCGCGAGUUUUAUGACUUAAAAAACCCCACAGGCUGGUCUGAAGAGGAAGACAAACAUAAAGAUGAAGUGCUUAAUUCAAGGUCACACAAUGUCGGGGAUGGACCUCCAGAUUUCCUUACUGACCUGCAUUAUCUUGUGGAUACCUGAGUGAAUUCCACACCACCCAUUUUAUAGAUGAAACCACUGAGACAUGGAGCAACUGACUGAGUAGUCACUGCCCCACCCCUGCCUGGAGCCUCACACAUGACUCGUCUCCUCUCAGUGACCACAGGUUGGUUGAGGGGUUUAACAAGGCUAAGAAGGUGAGACGUGGUCUUGUAACACAGUGGUUAAGAAUGUGACUUUGGAGCCAGCCUGCUAGGGGCUGAAUUCUGACUCAGCCAUUUACUAACUGUGUGACCUUAGGUGGAGUCUCACUCUGUAGCCCAAGCUGGAGUGGUGUGAUCUCGACUCACUGCAACCUCCGCCUCCUGGGCUCAAGUGAUUCUCGUGCCUCAGCCUCCUGAGUAGCUGGGACUACAGGUCACAGAAUUUUCCACACUCCUUGACGGAGGUGCUUAACCCUUAUCCAUCAGCAUUCUCAGACAGCACCUCCGGUUAGGGACAGUAUCUGACCGUCCGACAUCCCUGCAGCCCCCAUGUGUCACACAGACUCAGCCUCAGGUAGAUGGUUUCCGUAGAUGGUGGCUUUCUUUGGACCCUUGACAUCAACCAGUUACUAUUUGACUCUUCUGCAGAACCCCCUGUUGACCCCUGCUUUGAGGUGGCAGAGUUAACACUACUCUUCGUUAUAAGCUCUCGUCUGGGGCAACUCAGAAGAACCUCAGCAAGGCCCACAUUUUCCCGGUGAAGCCACAGAACCACAGGGAGAAACCCAUGGACUUCGCCUCUCUCUCUAGGGGACCAGAUGUGCAGAGGUAAUGAAUACCAGGGAAUCAGGAAACCACUGGAUCAGUUCUUUGAGCCACAGAACAACACUCAUCCCAGCAGCUGGGAAGCUAUCUGCAAAAGUCCAUCUGCAGAAAGGGCUUCCUGGUCUUGCGUGUGGCUGGGCCAUUUCUCUGGAUGCAGGUUUUUCAUUAUACAGUCUUCUCAAAGAAACACCUGCUCUCAACACC
This 1227-nucleotide non-coding RNA is filed under the name Pan troglodytes (chimpanzee). Lineage: Eukaryota; Metazoa; Chordata; Mammalia; Primates; Hominidae. The record is from RNAcentral.